This 491-nucleotide ribosomal RNA is filed under the name bacterium AV-Se-18. RNAcentral's name for it is "bacterial SSU rRNA". It matches the Rfam family "Bacterial small subunit ribosomal RNA", at positions 48 to 519 of the family's 1533-position model. The record is from RNAcentral.
GCUACACAUGCAAGUCGAGCGGAACGACACUAACAAUCCUUCGGGUGCGUUAAAGGGCGUCGAGCGGCGGACGGGUGAGUAAUGCUYAGGAAAUUGCCUUGAUGUGGGGGAUAACCAUUGGAAACGAUGGCUAAUACCGCAUGAUGCCUACGGGCCAAAGAGGGGGACCUUCGGGCCUCUCGCGUCAAGAUAUGCCUAGGUGGGAUUAGCUAGUUGGUGAGGUAAUGGCUCACCAAGGCGACGAUCCCUAGCUGGUCUGAGAGGAUGAUCAGCCACACUGGAACUGAGACACGGUCCAGACUCCUACGGGAGGCAGCAGUGGGGAAUAUUGCACAAUGGGCGAAAGCCUGAUGCAGCCAUGCCGCGUGUAUGAAGAAGGCCUUCUGGUUGUAAAGUACUUUCAGUUGUGAGGAAGGGUGUGUAGUUAAUAGUUGUGCAUCUUGACGUUACCGACAAAACAAGGACCGGAUAACCCCGAGCCAGCUGCUGUG